GNUGANGGAGCACGCCGCGUGAGUGANGAAGGUCUUCGGAUCGUAAAACUCUGUUAUUAGGGAAGAACAAGUGCGUAGGUAACUAUGCGCACCUUGACGGUACCUAAUCAGAAAGCCACGGCUAACUACGUGCCAGCAGCCG
Molecule: ribosomal RNA, 142 nt
Filed under: uncultured bacterium
Lineage: Bacteria
Description: partial 16S ribosomal RNA
Rfam family: Bacterial small subunit ribosomal RNA
Source: RNAcentral